This is a transfer RNA of 73 nucleotides. It matches the Rfam family "tRNA". Rfam says of the family: Transfer RNA (tRNA) molecules are approximately 80 nucleotides in length. Their secondary structure includes four short double-helical elements and three loops (D, anti-codon, and T loops). Further hydrogen bonds mediate the characteristic L-shaped molecular structure. tRNAs have two regions of fundamental functional importance: the anti-codon, which is responsible for specific mRNA codon recognition, and the 3' end, to which the tRNAs corresponding amino acid is attached (by aminoacyl-tRNA synthetases). tRNAs cope with the degeneracy of the genetic code in two manners: having more than one tRNA (with a specific anti-codon) for a particular amino acid; and 'wobble' base-pairing, i.e. permitting non-standard base-pairing at the 3rd anti-codon position. The record is from Rfam.
GGAUCGAUAGCUCAGCGGUACGAGCGAGGGAUUGCAGAUCCCUAGGUCCCGUGUUCGAUCCACGGUCGGUCCU